GGAGCAAUUCGCUAUAAGAUGGACCCGCGUCGCAUUAGCUAGUUGGUGAGGUAAUGGCUCACCAAGGCGACGAUGCGUAGCCGACCUGAGAGGGUGAUCGGCCACAUUGGGACUGAGACACGGCCCAGACUCCUACGGGAGGCAGCAUG
RNAcentral lists this ribosomal RNA (149 nucleotides) under uncultured bacterium. Its description in RNAcentral is "partial 16S ribosomal RNA". It matches the Rfam family "Bacterial small subunit ribosomal RNA", at positions 202 to 353 of the family's 1533-position model. The record is from RNAcentral.